RNAcentral lists this ribosomal RNA (253 nucleotides) under uncultured bacterium. RNAcentral's name for it is "partial 16S ribosomal RNA". It matches the Rfam family "Bacterial small subunit ribosomal RNA", at positions 524 to 776 of the family's 1533-position model. The record is from RNAcentral.
UACGUAGGGUGCGAGCGUUGUCCGGAAUUACUGGGCGUAAAGAGCUCGUAGGUGGUUUGUCGCGUUGUUCGUGAAAACUCACAGCUUAACUGUGGGCGUGCGGGCGAUACGGGCAGACUGGAGUACUGCAGGGGAGACUGGAAUUCCUGGUGUAGCGGUGGAAUGCGCAGAUAUCAGGAGGAACACCGGUGGCGAAGGCGGGUCUCUGGGCCGAUACUGACACUGAGAAGCGAAAGCGUGGGGAGCGAACAGG